This 493-nucleotide ribosomal RNA is filed under the name uncultured bacterium. RNAcentral's name for it is "partial 16S ribosomal RNA". It matches the Rfam family "Bacterial small subunit ribosomal RNA", at positions 29 to 507 of the family's 1533-position model. The record is from RNAcentral.
ACGAACGCUGGCGGCGUGCUUAACACAUGCAAGUCGAACGGAAAGGCCUGCUUUCCCUUGUGGAUUGCGGGUACUCGAGUGGCGAACGGGUGAGUAACACGUGAGUGAUCUGCCCCCAACUUGGGUAUAAGCCUGGGAAACUGGGUCUAAUUCCCGAUAGGACUGCAGGGUGGUGCCUGUGGUGGAAAACGAUUUUCUAGUGGUUGGGGAUGAGCUCGCGGCCUAUCAGCUUGUUGGUGGGGUAAUGGCCUACCAAGGCGGCGACGGGUAGCCGGCCUGAGAGGGUGGACGGCCACAUUGGGACUGAGAUACGGCCCAGACUCCUACGGGAGGCAGCAGUGGGGAAUAUUGCACAAUGGGCGGAAGCCUGAUGCAGCGACGCCGCGUGGUGGAUGACGGCCUUCGGGUUGUAAACUCCUUUCGACCGCGAGGAAGCCACCUGGUUGGAAGGGUGGUGACGGUAGUGGUAGAAGAAGCACCGGCUAACUACGUG